AACGAACGCUGGCGGCAUGCCUAACACAUGCAAGUCGAACGAUUGCCUUCGGGUGUUAGUGGCUCACGGGUUCGUAACGCGUGGGAAUCUGCCCUUAGGUUCGGCCUAACAGCUGGAAACGGCUGCUAAUACCGGAUGAUAUCGCGAGAUCGAAGGUUUAUCGCCAGAGGAUGAGCCCGCGUUGGAUUAGGUAGUUGGUGGGGUAAAGGCCUACCAAGCCGACGAUGCAGAGCUGGUCUGAGAGGAUGAUCAGCCACACUGGGACUGAGACACGGACCAGAAUCGUACGGAGGGGAGCAGAGGAGAAUAUUGGACGAGGGAGGCAAGUCUGACAAAGCAACGCCGGGGGAGUGAGGAAGGCGGUAGGGUUGUAAAGCUGUUUUAGACGGGAAGAGAAUGACUGUACCGGGAGAAUAAGCCCCGGCUAACUACGUG
RNAcentral lists this ribosomal RNA (435 nucleotides) under uncultured bacterium. RNAcentral's name for it is "partial 16S ribosomal RNA". It matches the Rfam family "Bacterial small subunit ribosomal RNA", at positions 29 to 507 of the family's 1533-position model. The record is from RNAcentral.